GAGUAAUGCUUGGGAAUCUGCCCAGUAGUGGGGGACAACACGGGGAAACUCGUGCUAAUACCGCAUACGCCCUACGGGGAAAGCGGGGGAUCUUCGGACCUCGCGCUAUUGGAUGAGCCCAAGUCGGAUUAGCUUGUUGGUGGGGUAAAAGCCCACCAAGGCGACGAUCCGUAGCUGGUCUGAGAGGACGAUCAGCCACACUGGGACUGAGACACGGCCCAGACUCCUACGGGAGGCAGCAGUGGGGAAUAUUGGACAAUGGGGGCAACCCUGAUCCAGCAAUGCCGCGUGUGUGAAGAAGGCCUGCGGGUUGUAAAGCACUUUCAAUUGGGAAGAAAAGCAGUCGGUUAAUACCUGGCUGUCUUGACGUUACCUUUACAAGAAGCACCGGCUAACUCCGUGCCAGCAGCCGCGGUAAUACGGAGGGUGCGAGCGUUAAUCGGAAUUACUGGGCGUAAAGCGCGCGUAGCGGUCAGGUCAGUCGGAUGUGAAAGCCCUGAGCUUAACUUGGGAAUUGCAUUCGAAACUGCCUGGCUAGAGUAUGGGAGAGGGAAGCGGAAUUUCCGGUGUAGCGGUGAAAUGCGUAGAUAUCGGAAGGAACAUCAGUGGCGAAGCAGGCUUCCUGGACCAAUACUGACGCUGAGGUGCGAA
RNAcentral lists this ribosomal RNA (651 nucleotides) under uncultured bacterium. RNAcentral's name for it is "bacterial SSU rRNA". It matches the Rfam family "Bacterial small subunit ribosomal RNA", at positions 108 to 757 of the family's 1533-position model. The record is from RNAcentral.